GACGAACGCUGGCGGCGUGCUUAACACAUGCAAGUCGAACGGAAAGGCCCUGCUUUUGUGGGGUGCUCGAGUGGCGAACGGGUGAGUAACACGUGAGUAACCUGCCCUUGACUUUGGGAUAACUUCAGGAAACUGGGGCUAAUACCGGAUAGGAGCUCCUGCUGAAUGGUGGGGGUUGGAAAGUUUCGGCGGUUGGGGAUGGACUCGCGGCUUAUCAGCUUGUUGGUGGGGUAGUGGCUUACCAAGGCUUUGACGGGUAGCCGGCCUGAGAGGGUGACCGGCCACAUUGGGACUGAGAUACGGCCAAGACUCCUACGGGAGGCAGCAGUGGGGAAUAUUGCACAAUGGGCGGAAGCCUGAUGCAGCAACGCGGCGUGCGGGAUGACGGCCUUCGGGUUGUAAACCGCUUUAGCAUGUGACGAAGCGUGAGUGACGGUAAUGGGGAAAGAAGCACCGGCUAACUACGU
RNAcentral lists this ribosomal RNA (467 nucleotides) under uncultured bacterium. Its description in RNAcentral is "partial 16S ribosomal RNA". It matches the Rfam family "Bacterial small subunit ribosomal RNA", at positions 28 to 506 of the family's 1533-position model. The record is from RNAcentral.